Molecule: long non-coding RNA, 1105 nt
Organism: Rosa chinensis
Lineage: Eukaryota; Viridiplantae; Streptophyta; Magnoliopsida; Rosales; Rosaceae
Exons: 4
Source: RefSeq, a predicted model, not a curated record
ACUCCAUAGUGAAGCCCACCCGCCCGAAGUACACCCGAGUCCCGAACUCGAAGUUUGGUCUGGAUUCUGGAGACUACGGCCUAUUCGAACGCGUCAUUCUCCAGUCUCUCCUCCUCCUUCUCUCGCCUUCUGCUGCUCUGCCCUUCCCCACUUCUCUCAGAGAUCAAGUCGUAUCUACUUCUCUUACUCUCCCUCUUCAGUUUGGGGCAUUGAAUUCAAUUGGAUUGAAGAAUGAAGGUUGCGGUCAAAUUCUAUUGCUCUGGUUGCGGUCAAAAGAGGGAUAGCUGCUGCUGUGCUAUCCACAACCAUGUUACAGAUUGGAAGGCCUUUCUGCAUAGAUGGACUCAUUAGAGCAUGCAAAGUAGUGUGUUGGUGUAUUCAAGUGAUGUUGGUGCACCAAUAGGUUCUACUUCCUCAUAAGUUCUAGCCCACCCGAACUUUCAUUCCUGGAUCCGCCAUUGACCACAAAGGAGCAAGUGUUGGCUUGUUUGUUCUCGACUGAAACUAGAUACAGAGCAACUACUCCUACUCACAAAUUUGACAAUAGCUUUCUCCAAAUCUAAGCUCAUUCCAAGGUGGACAACCGACACAAUGUGAUUCAUAAGGAGUGAAUCACAUGGUAAUACGAUAGGCUCAUUGCUUGAUACUCCGAACUCUUCUUCAGACAUUUUGAAAAGCUCUUGGAAAAUGUAGCUACCAAGAUAAGAUAAGGGAAGCACAAAACGCGCCUUGUCAAGGGUGUAAAUAACAAAAUUGCCUUUCGCUGCAGUAGUAUCACAUGACUUUCUACCAACUCCUCUCGGGUAUGAAAUUUUUUUGCUCCCUAUAACGUCAUUCAUCUGCCACUUUCUAGCCAUUUUAAUGAGCCUUUUUGGGCUGAGCAUCAUGUCCAUAUUUAGAUGCGGAUGAAGUGGCCUCGAGAAAUUGAGCAAGAAAGCAGUGGCAGCUUUGCAGGCAGUUGAAGUUUCUGUGUCAGAAUACUGAAUAUUGCUAUUGCUGUGAUAAUGAGAGAUGGAAAAACCAAUAGGGGUGGGUUAACUAUAUAUAUAAAGUUCUCUUAGGACCUUCAGACGAUUUAUAAAUGUAUUGCGGGCUUCUUGUUGUA